This 329-nucleotide unclassified non-coding RNA is filed under the name soil metagenome. Its description in RNAcentral is "partial contains 5.8S ribosomal RNA, internal transcribed spacer 2, and large subunit ribosomal RNA". The stretch from base 1 to 120 matches the Rfam family "5.8S ribosomal RNA", at positions 35 to 154 of the family's 154-position model. The record is from RNAcentral.
GAUGAAGAACGUAGCGAAAUGCGAUAAGUAAUGUGAAUUGCAGAAUUCAGUGAAUCAUCGAAUCUUUGAACGCACAUUGCGCCCCUUGGUAUUCCGAGGGGCAUGCCUAUUCGAGCGUCAUUAUCACCCCUCAAGCUCCGGCUUGGUGUUGAGGCCUGCUGUAAAGGCACCCUCUAAAAUCAGUGGCAGUGCUGUCAGGCUCUAAGCGUAGUAAUUCUCUCGCUACAGGGUCCCGGUGGACACUCGCCAGAACCCCCCCAUUUUUUAAUGAUUGACCGCGGAUUAGGUAGGGAUACCCGCUGAACUUAAGCAUAUCAAUAAGCGGAGGA